AUUUACAGAGAUCCCAUUGGCCAGAUAAGUCACGUGUUAACCACUGCAUACUCCCCUUAACAACAAGGUCCUUGACAACAGGUUCCUUAAGAACAAGAGGUUUGGGGUAUCCACGCUGUGUGAAAUUGUGGACCAUGUGAUCUAGUGCUGGUUCAACUCUCUCCUCAAUGCUGAUAAUCCGUCUAGCUCUUAACAUUUGGCUAGACGGAAGGGAUUUCACCAUUGAAUGACGGUAGUGACUUUCAAAUCUCAGAAUGGAGUUCCUAUCUGUAGGUUUAGUAUACAGGAGCUUCUCUAGGUUCUGAACUGCUGUAACUUCUUAAGAGGCUGCACCUUCAAUUGCUGUGGAAGACGUACUGCCACUACUUACUGCUACUGAAGACUUACUGUGGAAGAAGAAAUCAUUAGACCACAGACAGGCAGUAACGUGAAAGAGGAGCAACAAAUGCAUUUCAUGAAUCCACUAGAUUUCUACUUAUAAUCUCCAGAACAAACUAUACUAGGUCAAUGAGGCAACAUCCAUACAUUCAGCCGCCCAAGAAUGAAUAAAUGGUGCCUUCAGGUCAGCCACCAAUUUGUGCUGACAGGGUUUUCUUUAAACACCUACACAUAUGCUUCAUACUAAGUCUGCUAUUAGCAAUUGACAUCUUACAGGAGUACCAGUGUACUGGGCAUUAUUCACACCACACCCACUAAACAACUAAUUUAAUUAUAAACUGCACAGCCACAAGAGAAUGGGUGGUAUAGCAUGCUGAGUACUGUCAUAGUGUUGGGUGGAGCAUGCAUCUCCACUGACCCACUUAGAAUAUACACCUCUGUGAUUAAAUUCUAGAAUCACCGUAAAAAUGAGCGUUCUUUGCUGUUCAUUAACUUGCAGGAUGCAUAUUCCAUCAUAUAAUUAUAACGCAUAAUAGAAGUAAAUUAUUACCGCCCUUUGUUCUCUUCUUUUGGAUGUCAGAUAUAGGAGCAGAAAGAGAGAGCUAGAUUGAAUACUUUGAAUACCUUACUCAAAACCUUUCCUACUUCUUGUAGAGGAAAAUAGAUUGUAAAUAAAGUCCUGUGAUUACAGCAGCCUUGGCCCUGAAUCAAUCAGUAUGUGGGAAGAUCGGCAAAUCUCCCAGACUUACAGGCUCACAGGCUUUUAGAAACA
Hyla sarda is the source of this 1150-nucleotide long non-coding RNA. RefSeq lists it as uncharacterized. NCBI's taxonomy places the organism in Eukaryota, Metazoa, Chordata, Amphibia, Anura, Hylidae. The record is from RefSeq and is a predicted model, not a curated record. The transcript is spliced from 4 exons.